This 301-nucleotide ribosomal RNA is filed under the name uncultured bacterium. RNAcentral's name for it is "partial 16S ribosomal RNA". It matches the Rfam family "Bacterial small subunit ribosomal RNA", at positions 509 to 809 of the family's 1533-position model. The record is from RNAcentral.
CAGUCGCCGCGGUAAUACGAGGGGUGCAAGCGUUAUUCGGAUUGAUUGGGUGUAAGGGGUGUGCAGACGGCUUAUUAAGUCACUUGUUAAAUUCUUCGGCCUAACUGAAGGUCUGCAAGUGAUACUGAUGAGCUAGAGGGUGGAAGAGAGAAGUGGAAUUCUCGGAGUAGCGGUAAAAUGCGUAGAUCUCGAGAGGAACACCAAUGGCGAAGGCAGCUUCUUGGUCCAUUCCUGACGUUCAUACACGAAAGCGUGGGGAGCAAACAGGAUUAGAUACCCCGGUAGUCCCUGUCUCUUAUAA